Molecule: ribosomal RNA, 367 nt
Filed under: uncultured organism
Description: bacterial LSU rRNA
Rfam family: Bacterial large subunit ribosomal RNA
Source: RNAcentral
CUUUACUGUAGCCUGGUAUUGGGUUCGGGCUUUGACUGCGCAGGAUAGGUGGGAGACUAUGAAGCUGCCCUUGUGGGGGCAGUGGAGUCAUCAGUGAGAUACCACUCUGUCAAGGCUAGAAUUCUAACCGUCUGCCGUUAUCCGGCGACGGAACAGUAUCAGGUGGGCAGUUUGACUGGGGCGGUCGCCUCCUAAAUGGUAACGGAGGCGCGCAAAGGAUCCCUCAGGCUGGUUGGAAAUCAGCCGAAGAGUGUAAAGGCAGGAGGGAGCUUGACUGCAAGAGCAACAACUCAAGCAGGGACGAAAGUCGGCCUUAGUGAUCCGACGGCGCUGAGUGGAAGGGCCGUCGCUCAACGGAUAAAAGUUA